Molecule: long non-coding RNA, 304 nt
Filed under: Monodelphis domestica (gray short-tailed opossum)
Lineage: Eukaryota; Metazoa; Chordata; Mammalia; Didelphimorphia; Didelphidae
Description: lncRNA (ENSMODG00000039650.1)
Source: RNAcentral
AAAUAAAUAAAAGGUUUUUAUUUACUCUUUUGAUAUUUUUUCUUUCUUUCCAGGAAUAAAGUCUACUACUCACUGGACUGCAGACUAAAUAAAUAAUACAAGUGCCUAAUGCAGGGCCUGUCUUUCAGCCUCCUAGAUGUAUGGGAUUUACCUGGGACUAAUAGAUGCCAAAUAAACCAACAUCUUCAUUUUGAAGACAAAGAAACUGAGAUCCAGAGGGAAACCCCUUACUUAAAAUCAUUCAGUUCCUUCCAUUGUGUCAGAGAUCCUUUCCAAAGAAGACCCACACCUGUGCAGGGACCAU